GGUGACCUCGGAUCAUGUACG
RNAcentral lists this ribosomal RNA (21 nucleotides) under Diplodia pseudoseriata. Its description in RNAcentral is "partial 28S ribosomal RNA". The record is from RNAcentral. Lineage: Eukaryota; Fungi; Ascomycota; Dothideomycetes; Botryosphaeriales; Botryosphaeriaceae.